Molecule: ribosomal RNA, 265 nt
Filed under: uncultured bacterium
Lineage: Bacteria
Description: partial 16S ribosomal RNA
Rfam family: Bacterial small subunit ribosomal RNA
Source: RNAcentral
GUCCUAGCUGUAAACGGUGCACGUUUGCUGUAAGAGGAAUCGACCCCUUUGUGGCGAAGCUAACGCGUUAAACGUGCCGCCUGGGGAGUACGGUCGCAAGAUUAAAACUCAAAGAAAUUGACGGGGCCUGCACAAGCGGUGGAGUAUGUGGCUUAAUUCGAUGCAACGCGAAGAACCUUACCUGGCCUUGACAUGUAGGUAGUAGAAGCCUGAAAAGGUAACGAGGUAGCAAUACCAGCUUACACAGGUGCUGCAUGGCUGUCGU